This 740-nucleotide ribosomal RNA is filed under the name uncultured archaeon. Its description in RNAcentral is "bacterial SSU rRNA". It matches the Rfam family "Archaeal small subunit ribosomal RNA", at positions 1 to 750 of the family's 1478-position model. The record is from RNAcentral.
UUCCGGUUGAUCCUGCCGGACCCGACUGCUAUCAGAGUGAGAUUAAGCCAUGCGAGUUAACGUAGCAAUACGUGGCGCACGGCUCAGUAACACGUAGUCAACAUGCCCAGAGGACGUGGAUAACCUCGGGAAACUGAGUCUAAACCGCGAUAAGUGAGGAUUUCUGGAAUGGUUCCUGACUUAAAUCUAUAUGGCCCCUGGAUUGGACUGCGGCCGAUCAGGCUGUUGGUGAGGUAAUGGCCCACCAAACCUGUAACCGGUACGGGCUCUGAGAGGAGGAGCCCGGAGAUGGGCACUGAGACAAGGGCCCAGGCCCUAUGGGGCGCAGCAGGCGCGAAACCUCUGCAAUAGGCGAAAGCCUGACAGGGUUACUCUGAGUGAUUUCCGUUAAGGAGAUCUUUUGGCACCUCUAAAAAUGGUGCAGAAUAAGGGGUGGGCAAGUCUGGCGUCAGCCGCCGCGGUAAUACCAGCACCCCGAGUGGUCGGGACGAUUAUUGGGCCUAAAGCAUCCGUAGCCGGUUCUGCAAGUCCCCCGUUAAAUCCAGCUGCUCAACAGAUGGGCCGCGGAGGAUACUACAGAGCUAGGAGGCAGGAGAGGCAAGCGGUACUCAGUGGGUAGGGGUAAAAUCCGUUGAUCCAUUGAAGACCACCAGUGGCGAAGGCGGCUUGCCAGAAUGCGCUCGACGGUGGGGGAUGAAAGCUGGGGGAGCAAACCGGAUUAGAUACCCGGGUAGUCCCAG